GUUCCCCCAAUUCUUUGAUACCAAACCCUCCAGGAGAAGAACCAUCCAUCUGAGUCCAGCCCAAAUUGCAGAAUAAAUUUGAUUUAUUUAUAUUAAAUGAAUGAAUAAAUGGUCAUGGUUGAAAGAUACAACAUUUUGAGGUGGUUGGUUAGGCAGCAACAGAUAAUAGAUACAAUGAGACAUUUUCUUUGGUGUUUUGGAAAGGUUCACACACGUAUAGGAAGCCAUGGGAACCUUUGUGUUUGGGAAGGUGGAUUAUUUCCAUGGGAAAAUCCUUUCUUCUCUUACCCUCUUUAUCUAACCAACUCCUAUUCACUCUUCAGGUCUGAAAUUAGACAACUUUUCUUUGGGAAUUCUUCUCCAACUCCUGAGAUCAAGUUAUGUGUUUCUUUGAUGGGCUCAUUUGCGUACUGCUCUUUCCCUGUUAUAGUCAUUUCACACCCCAUGGUUGUAAUGCCUGCUUUCCCCAUGAGACUGAAGGCUCAACAAGGACAGGACAGAGCCUGCGUCAGUCAUUAUUGUGCUCCCAGCUUUGCCUUAGCAUGUCAGACAUGGAAAGAACUUUCUGCUUGGGUAUCUCAUCAGUCCAUCAAGUGGUUACUGAUGCCCUCACCAGGCCACCCAUUCCACUGCAGGGCAGUGACAUGUGUGACACUGUUUGACCUUAAAUGAGACAGCCUCUACCUCUGUGUGUACUUUCUGUUCAUAGGCUUACAUCCGAUCACUGAGAGCUCCCAAACAUCCCCUACAUAUUUGCAUAUUUGCAUACAGGCGCUGCGAUCUCCUUAAACAUUUCUUCUUCAGCCUACAGUAUAAGUAACAGCUGAGGCCCCUGGGGAUGUCUGGCCGGGAGUACCACCUGACCAUCCAGUUUCUCUUCUCUUGACAAUUUUCUUCUUGCCACAAUGUUGCAACAAGUACUUAGCGCCACCAGGAAGGACUUGACCAAGGUAGAGUAGAGGAAAAUUAUCACAUCCAUUGAAUACAACUUUCUUUUUUAAUAAUGCCACUUUAUGCUCAUAUUGAUUUACUGGAUAGAUGCAGCAUGCACAUUAUAAUGGCCUUGCAGCCCUCCCUCAGUAGCC
RNAcentral lists this long non-coding RNA (1085 nucleotides) under Equus caballus (horse). Its description in RNAcentral is "lncRNA (ENSECAG00000055303.1)". The record is from RNAcentral. Lineage: Eukaryota; Metazoa; Chordata; Mammalia; Perissodactyla; Equidae.